This 945-nucleotide long non-coding RNA is filed under the name Gossypium barbadense (sea-island cotton). Its description in RNAcentral is "long non-coding RNA (GBAR_LNC020604)". The record is from RNAcentral. Lineage: Eukaryota; Viridiplantae; Streptophyta; Magnoliopsida; Malvales; Malvaceae.
AAACUUUCAAUAAAUCAUUGGUCCAAUUACCCAAAUGAAAAACUAAUUUUAUAAAUAAUAAACUUUGAAAAAAACCCAUUUCUUUCAAUUCUUUCCACUUUCUUUUUCCCUAUUCUCUCAACUCUCGUUGCUUCCUCUAGUAAUUGAAAGUAACAAACAAAAUCUUCACUCGAAACCCAAAAAGAAUAAAAGAAAUAAAUCUUUCAUGUCCCUUUGUUACAUGGUUUCCUUUGAUUUUUCUUUUGGAAAUCCACAACAUUAUUUGUUUUGUUUUUGUAAUAGGGCCCAAUCGACCCAGGCCCAAACAAUUAAAAAUAGUCCAGUUACAAGCCCAACGGCCUUACAGGCCCAAAACUAAACCAAACCCCAAAACUAAAAAAAGAAAAAACCCUAGUGACAACAGGGGAGCGCCGCAACUUCCCCCGCCUUCCACGCCUCCAGCGAGUGCCCAGUCGCCGCAAGACUCGGAGAUGGCCCUCUCCACGCGCGCCGUUUCUUCACGAUUAUCUGCAAAAACGGACCUAAGGAGUCCGAGGAAAACAAAAUAGCAAAGAAUAACAGAUGUACUUAUUUUCUUUUUACUUUCAGGCCUACAAGAGACCACUUUUUAUAUGUAAAAGAGGAGGGAUCUUUGGAUAGAGAGAAUCAACAAUAAUAAAGCAGCGAAAACUCGUUUUUUUAAGAGGUGAUUUCUUUUUUUUGUCGACAGUGACUAUCGUUCUACAUAUGUUUUUCAUUUUCUUUCACUUUUCAUUUUGUUUCAUUUAAAAUAACAAAGAAAAAGAAAAAGAAAACUUACCUAAGUUGGGAACCAGUGCCGGAAUUCGGACCGUCCGAAUCGCCUGAGAGGCGGCGCGAGGACGCUAGGGUCCUAAACCCUAGCAGAGCAACAGAGAAACUUUUGUUAUUUUAAUUUAUUUUUCUUUCAUUCGGUUUCAAGUGAUU